This 89-nucleotide transfer RNA is filed under the name marine sediment metagenome. It matches the Rfam family "tRNA". From Rfam's summary of the family: Transfer RNA (tRNA) molecules are approximately 80 nucleotides in length. Their secondary structure includes four short double-helical elements and three loops (D, anti-codon, and T loops). The record is from RNAcentral.
AGCCCCGUGGUGUAGUGGCCAAGCACAGCGGGCUCUGGACCCGCUGACGCCGGAGCUUGAAGCGGCGAAUUCGAAUCCGGCCGGGGCUA